Molecule: ribosomal RNA, 254 nt
Filed under: uncultured bacterium
Lineage: Bacteria
Description: partial 16S ribosomal RNA
Rfam family: Bacterial small subunit ribosomal RNA
Source: RNAcentral
UACGGGGGGGGCAAGCGCUGUUCGGAAUUACUGGGCGUAAAGGGCGCGUAGGCGGCCUGCUAAGUCGGACGUGAAAUCCCUCGGCUCAACCGGGGAACUGCGUCCGAUACUGGCGAGGCUUGAAUCCGGGAGAGGGAUGUGGAAUUCCAGGUGUAGCGGUGAAAUGCGUAGAUAUCUGGAGGAACAUCGGUGGCGAAGGCGGCAUCCUGGACCGGUAUUGACGCUGAGGCGCGAAAGCCAGGGGAGCAAACGGG